GCUGAAGCUGUAAUCAGAUUGGGGCUCAGAAGAAUCCCACAGUUCCAGAAGUCAUUUUAAGAACACUUAGAAAACCCUUGGAAUUCCUCUUCAGGGAGUUUUUGCCACAACAGAGAUAAUGGCUAUGCAUUUCAGCUACCAAGAAAGUUUUGGAAAAAAUACAACACUCCCCAGAUCCCCUUUGAAGCAUUGUUCAGUCAAGCAUGAUAAUGGGUUGCAGGCCAAUUCAUAUCUAUCUGCCCCUUCAUAUUGGAUAUUCUAAAAUUUCUCAGGUAUUAGC
Molecule: long non-coding RNA, 280 nt
Filed under: Homo sapiens (human)
Lineage: Eukaryota; Metazoa; Chordata; Mammalia; Primates; Hominidae
Description: HSALNT0008707
Source: RNAcentral